RNAcentral lists this long non-coding RNA (232 nucleotides) under Gossypium barbadense (sea-island cotton). Its description in RNAcentral is "long non-coding RNA (GBAR_LNC005580)". Lineage: Eukaryota; Viridiplantae; Streptophyta; Magnoliopsida; Malvales; Malvaceae. The record is from RNAcentral.
GAGAUCGUCGGAGGCAAAAUCACACUAUCAAACUAUCAUUAUUGGGAAAAUUAAUUCAAAUAUUAGAAAUAUCAAGUGAGUGGCAUGUAUAGGAAGUUGGUUUGUGAUAUGUAUUUUUAUUAUGAUUUUGACCUUACGUAUCAGUCUGUAUUGAGUUAUCGUAUAUGAUCAUGAGAUGUGGUCCUUAUCCAUUAUGGUUUAUAAGUUUAAUUAAUCGUGUCAUGUCCUACGU